UGCCAGCCGCCGCGGUAAUACGGAGGGUGCAAGCGUUGCUCGGAAUCACUGGGCGUAAAGCGCACGCAGGCGGCUUAUCAGGUCGGAUGUGAAAGCCCGGGGCUCAACCCCGGAACUGCAUUCGAAACCGGUAGGCUUGAGUACGGGAGAGGGAAGCGGAAUUCCUGGUGUAGAGGUGAAAUUCGUAGAUAUCAGGAGGAACACCCGUGGCGAAAGCGGCUUCCUGGCCCGAUACUGACGCUCAUGUGCGAAAGCGUGGGGAGCAAACAGGAUUAGAUA
This 279-nucleotide ribosomal RNA is filed under the name uncultured bacterium. Its description in RNAcentral is "partial 16S ribosomal RNA". It matches the Rfam family "Bacterial small subunit ribosomal RNA", at positions 506 to 784 of the family's 1533-position model. The record is from RNAcentral.